This 371-nucleotide long non-coding RNA is filed under the name Salvator merianae (Argentine black and white tegu). RNAcentral describes it as "lncRNA (ENSSMRG00000002930.1)". The record is from RNAcentral. Lineage: Eukaryota; Metazoa; Chordata; Lepidosauria; Squamata; Teiidae.
CUCUGGUGGAGGUGAAUUUUGGUUGAGCCUUCCGCUAUGAAGCUCCUUCAUCUUACCUUUGCAUUUCUCUGUCUGAUGAUGCUGGUUGUUCCAGGUUUUUCUGAAAUACUUAAUGAGCAGCAAUGCCUCGAUGAAGGGGGAAUGUGUGUCUACCACAGAUGUAAACGUAAUUUCGAGCAGAUUGGACUCUGUUCAAGCAAAGAUGUUUGCUGCAGGAGAUACAAGUGGAAAAUGUGACCACGCCUNGUCAUACUGUUUGAAAUUCAUGGACAUCCUCAGCUGUGAAAUUCCGAUGGAUUAUAAAUUUGGAAGUCUUCCAGGGGAAAGGGAUGUGAUUAACUGAUGCCUAAAUAAAAGGAAGUUGCAGUGCA